RNAcentral lists this ribosomal RNA (528 nucleotides) under uncultured bacterium. Its description in RNAcentral is "bacterial SSU rRNA". It matches the Rfam family "Bacterial small subunit ribosomal RNA", at positions 988 to 1513 of the family's 1533-position model. The record is from RNAcentral.
CCUUUGACAACUCUAGAGAUAGAGUCUUCCCCUUCGGGGGACAAAGUGACAGGUGGUGCAUGGUUGUCGUCAGCUCGUGUCGUGAGAUGUUGGGUUAAGUCCCGCAACGAGCGCAACCCUUAAGCUUAGUUGCCAGCAUUAAGUUGGGCACUCUAAGUUGACUGCCGGUGACAAACCGGAGGAAGGUGGGGAUGACGUCAAAUCAUCAUGCCCCUUAUGAUUUGGGCUACACACGUGCUACAAUGGACAAUACAAAGGGCAGCUAAACCGUGAGGUCAUGCAAAUCCCAUAAAGUUGUUCUCAGUUCGGAUUGUAGUCUGCAACUCGACUACAUGAAGCUGGAAUCGCUAGUAAUCGUAGAUCAGCAUGCUACGGUGAAUACGUUCCCGGGUCUUGUACACACCGCCCGUCACACCACGAGAGUCUGUAACACCCGAAGCCGGUGGAGUAACCAUUUAUGGAGCUAGCCGUCGAAGGUGGGACAAAUGAUUGGGGUGAAGUCGUAACAAGGUAGCCGUAUCGGAAGGU